UGCGCAUGAAUGAAUGAACGACGGUGUU
Molecule: non-coding RNA, 28 nt
Filed under: Homo sapiens (human)
Lineage: Eukaryota; Metazoa; Chordata; Mammalia; Primates; Hominidae
Source: RNAcentral